ACUAUAAAUAUAUGUUUUAACCGCUUAAAAUUGUUUAAAUUCCGAUAAAACGUUCAAUGCGCUAAAUAUUAAAUCUCCGUCCGUUUAGCGCUUUGUUAAACAAAACACUUAGAGCAUCUCCAUUGGAAGUAUUUCAAUGAGAUACCCAACAAAACAAAAAAAAUUUAAAAAAAAAAAGUACGAGAGAGAUGAAAAAAAGUAGAAGAGAAGGAGAGUUAAGUUUUUCGGAGGAGAAACUUUGAGAAACUAUUCUCAUCCAAUUUGGACAGGUGUCAUCAUAUUAUUAGUUUAACUAUUAAAUAAUAAUUAAUAUAUCUGUUUUGAUUAAAAUAUUA
This 335-nucleotide small RNA is filed under the name Arabidopsis thaliana (thale cress). Its description in RNAcentral is "ATSL172710". Lineage: Eukaryota; Viridiplantae; Streptophyta; Magnoliopsida; Brassicales; Brassicaceae. The record is from RNAcentral.